GAGUCGUAACAAGGUUUCCGUAGGUGAACCUGCGGAAGGAUCAUUAAAGUAAUUGGUUAUACAUAUCCUGUAUAACAUGCAUCGCAAACCCAAAUUCCCCAGUUACGGAUGUAACCCCUUUGGCCCCUUGGUUUUGGCCUUUCCCAAUGGGGGCCUGACUUUGGUCACUCUUGUGAUGCGAAUCCCAAGAGAGUCCCCAUGGGGGGUAAUCAUUAAAUUCAUGAAUCCAAUGUCUUCUGUCUGAAAUGUUAAAAACAAAUGUUAAAA
This 267-nucleotide unclassified non-coding RNA is filed under the name plant metagenome. Its description in RNAcentral is "partial contains small subunit ribosomal RNA and internal transcribed spacer 1". The stretch from base 1 to 46 matches the Rfam family "Eukaryotic small subunit ribosomal RNA", at positions 1786 to 1831 of the family's 1831-position model. The record is from RNAcentral.